Long non-coding RNA from Daphnia magna, 742 nucleotides. RefSeq lists it as uncharacterized. The transcript has 2 exons. Lineage: Eukaryota; Metazoa; Arthropoda; Branchiopoda; Diplostraca; Daphniidae. The record is from RefSeq and is a predicted model, not a curated record.
CGAAAAGCAAACGGUGACUUAUCCGUGUUAGUCGGCGCUGAAGUCGCUACACUUUUCGACGAGAAGGAGUUGAGAUCAGUCGUCACUCCCGCUAACGUCCGCACGUCAACCGGCAACUCCCACUCUUUUAAAAUACCACGCUCGUAUUCGUUUGCUAUCUUUGACAAUGCGGGGGCUAGUAUCUGGAAAGCCAUUACGGUUUUGCGGUUACCAAACAUGUUCAAGUUCCGCCCAGAUAAGAAAAGUUGUAGUAUCUGCUCAAGACCCAGCGCGGUUGGCGGGUUCAUCCGGUAGAUUUUUACUUGUUUUGUUUAAGCGUUUUCCUAAAAUUUGUAAAAAAAAUAGACUUAGAAUUGGAGAAAAAUAUGCGUUAGUUAAUAAUCUAUCCUGUGUGCCUGCAAAAUUUUCCGAACAGUUCCGGGGUCGAAACAAUCGAGCGGGCUCCGCAUCAUCAUCAUCGAAUAUUGGGUUGACGUGCAAUCAGUAUUCCGCGGCACGUUACAGCAUUUCCUCCCUUCUUUUAUUUGGGAAACAGAAGGAAGUUGUACUCCUCCCCUCCCCUCCCCGGCCCCCCUUCGCCCCUUACAUACUUCACCUCCUCCGUCCUGUCGUCCUCUGUGUACCCGUGUCAAUAUCCAUUUCCUGCCCAUGCUACUUUUCUUCCAGUUUGUUGUACAGGAACGAACAAAAUCUUAUUCCCUGGACUACAAAUCAAAUGAAUAAUUUUUUAAGGGGCUAAAAA